This is a long non-coding RNA of Lontra canadensis (Northern American river otter), 725 nucleotides long. RefSeq lists it as uncharacterized. The record is from RefSeq and is a predicted model, not a curated record. Lineage: Eukaryota; Metazoa; Chordata; Mammalia; Carnivora; Mustelidae. The transcript is spliced from 4 exons.
UUGUGCUAGCUAAACAGCUGACCCCUAUUCUUUCUCCUGCUUUUUAUCCUCUUUCCCAGAUUGAACACCCUGGCAUUACUUUGUUGUAGAAAGAGAAGACUGAAAGCCUUUUGAACUACAUGCUGACAGGAGUGCAGCUGACAACGCAGUGACCUAGAUCUGCUGCCAGGGGUGCCAGAUGAGCAAGAAAACCCACAAAAUUCAAGGCCUCAGAAGCUGAAUGGGCCACUCAUCAAGGAGGAGCUGGAAAAAGCCUUGAGGGAGUCCAGAAAUUGAAGCUCUCAUCCUGGCUCCUUCAUUCAGUAGCUCUAUGACCACAGGCAAAUCACUUAGCCAUUGAAGUUCAGUUUCGUCAUUGGUAAAAUAGGUGAGGAAGAAUUGGGCUGUUUACAACCUAAAGAUCAGGAUACCAUAUCAUUACAAACAAGGCUGAAUGUGAAAAAGAUGUCUGGAACUUGGCAGCCAUAGUGGACCAUGAGGUGAUGUGCUAAGAAUGGUGGAGCAGCAAGAUAGAAGGAGUUGGGUCUCUGACUCCUGGAACCACCAUCCCAACCCUCGGUUAUCUUCUGUUGGACCUCUUUGCCAUAAGAGAGAAAUGAUUUCUAUCUUCUUUAGGCUACUGUUAUUUUAGUUUUCUUGUCACACGUAAACUUAGCCCUAACUGAUAAAAUAAUCAUCUAUUCAAGACCCUGUGCUAAAUGCUGCACUUACUGUAAAGAUAUAAA